Molecule: long non-coding RNA, 8559 nt
Filed under: Homo sapiens (human)
Lineage: Eukaryota; Metazoa; Chordata; Mammalia; Primates; Hominidae
Description: non-protein coding lnc-LRRC72-10:2
Source: RNAcentral
ACACCAGACAGUAGACAGAGAACAAGAGGAAGCAGAUUCCAGAAGCAGCAGCUGAGAUCCAGUCGUGGAUUGGAGGCAAUGUUAACAUGCCCCUCCAACUUGGAAAGACAAACUGGUGUGUAGAGAUUUACACUGUGAACUUUUUUUCCAAGCAACAAUGCAGGAACUUAACAGGAACACUGAAAGAAACCACAGACCCUUUGAAAGAAGCAGCAGGCUGCAGCCUACACCAUGAGCCAUGCAGAAAACUGUAAGCCUCCAGAGUAAGAGCUGGGGAUAAACUGCCUCUAGGAUUCACACUCCCUUGUGGGAACCUGUCAAUCCAGGCCAAGGGAGAAGUCUUUCACCAUACCCAGUGCUGGAACUGAUUCAGAGAGCACUGGGGAAUAUCAAGGAAGAAGCAACAGUAGGGAGAGCCUUGUGUGCAUUUUCAAUCUCCAGCAUGGACCGAGGGAAGUUAUUCCUGAUCCUGCCUCACAGGGGCCUUGAAGAAGUCUGCCAGCUAAAUCAGGCAGUGGUCACAGGUUGAAAGAAGCUUCCAGCUGAAAUUAGUGAUAUAAUCUCAAUUGAGGAUGAACUCCCUUGGCCAGAAUCAGGGGGUGAGUGAGAAGCCUACUGUAGCCACGAGCACAGAAAUUGGGCACCCCAGGUUUGCAGGUGGACUGGGAGGGGAAUGGUCUGAAAGCUGUGGUUGCUGUCUCCACCAGGAAGGUUUAUGGCCUGGGUCAGAUUUUAGUUCUGAGCACAGACUGCCUGAAACUUAGCUAGCUGCAGCUGGUGGAGCAGUGUGGGUGUGGGACCUGCCUUGCCAAAUGCAUGGAAGCUGGGUGGGGCUUACUGCUGCCUGCUUACUCCCCACUCCCUGUGCCAACACUUCUUCACAGCAGAGGCAGCUGCAUUCUGCCCUGGAACAUGACCCCAGUGUCCAGAGAACUGCCCCCUCACACCACAGGGGCCACAGUUUGCCCUGGAAGCAGAAAGCCAGAGUGCAGGCCUGCCUGACCCAGCCCCCACCUGGCUUUGUCCCUCCACCCACCCUGAUAGCUUAACACAAAGGACAGAAACUUUUGGCAGCUCUACGGCCCCACCUAUAGCUUGAAAAUCCAGAAUACCUCUCCUGGGUAAAAGGCAAGCACACAUCCCAUUGCUACUACUGCAGCUGGUGCCCUUUGCAAAUGCCACCUCUUGGCUGGAGGCCAACCAACACGGUCCAUCACAGCAUCUCUGGGUAGAAUAACCUACACCCAGGAAGAAGAAAACUUGUAUGUGACCUCAGCCAUCACCAUUGCCUACAGGACCUGGCUAAAUACGUGGUCCUGAGUUUGUCCAUGUGACCAGUUCAUUACUACUACAAUCAGUAUCUGAGAAAGCCAACACACUAUGGCUAUUUAUAACCAAAGGAUCUCUAAUGUAGAUAGAGUCUACAUCACUCUCCUGCCCGUUGUUGGGAUACGUGAGGAUAGGUCACAUCACUGGAUUUCUUGUAGACAUUCCCCAGCACCAGCCUGGAGUGUGGCAGCACCACUGGGUGGCUAGACUCAGAGGAGCAGCAGCAUUUACAGUAGUCUGGCUCUCAGGGCCUCCUACUCCUAGGGGAAGGGGGAAUGCAACACAUCAUGGGAACACCCCAUGGGACAAAAGAAUCCAGAUGGCAGGACUUGAGUCCCAGAACUUUCCACAGGUGGAAAGUUUCAUUCAGCAGAGACACAGGUGCAGUGCUAGGCUCAGCAAGGAAAGUCUGUAGUUCCACCCCAAUAGUCAGGCAGCCCUGAUGCUCAUGAAAGGUCUUGGAGAAGGAGACUUCUUUCUCCCCUUGUCCACCACUGCAGAUACAGCUGGGGCUUCCACCAUGGGAGCUUGGCAUGGGUUUACCUAUAGACAGCCUUUCUGGAAUACUUCAGGGUGUGGCUGCAUCUCCACAGGAGAAGGGCCCUCCAGGUUCAGGCUUGCACAAGGAGUACAGUCACAAUUCCUCUCUACUUGGAAAAUCAACAUUCCUGUAGAUGAAAAGAGGUGCCUCUCUGAUGAAUAGCCAGAACAUUGGGUCAGGAGUGUGUCUGGGUCAGGAGUGUGUCUAGGAAGUGGAUCACUUUCCUGCUAGCCUGGCAGGAGAGCUGAGGUGGCGCCUACUCUUUCCCUGACAAGACUUCAGUCUAUUCCACUGAGAGCUCCUCCAUGCACUUCUGUCAGGACAGAGGCAUUUGCAAUACCCAUUGAUGGACACCUGCUUUUGCCACACCAGUCUCUACCCAGGGACACCACUCCUACUGGCCUGAAGCCUAAACUAUUCAACCCAGUAAAUAAAUUAUUGAGGGGAAAAUAGAUUUUUAAAUAAGUGUACACCACAAGAGAAUGAGAUAAGCCUCAAGAAACUUCUGCCAUUCCAACCUCACAGGAGACAGUGAAUUUGCUCAUACACCAAACACAUUGCUACUACAAUGAGCAUCUGAGAAAGCUACUACAAAAAGGCCCUCUAUAGCCUAGGAACCCAUACAGGGUCUUGACCUCUGAAAGCACCAAGAGCAGAAUUAGCUUUCAAUCUGCUAUAAAAAUUAAAUUCACAUCUCCAAGGAAAAAUAAAGAAAUUUUAAAAAACAAUAAAAUCAAAAAUAAACUAAGAAAUAAUUAGAACAUAUAGUCUGCCCAAAUAAGAAGCAACCAGAAAAAUACUUCUGGUAAUAUGACAAAACAGGAUUCCAUAACAUCUCCAAAAGAUCAUACUAGCUUUUGAGCAAUGGAUCCAAACCAAGAUGAAACCUCUACAAUACCAGAUAAAGAAUUCAAAAGGUUGAAUAUUAAGCUACUCAAGGAGAUAUCAAGAAAAAUGGAAAACAUAAAGAAUAUAGAAAAAUGAUUCAGAAUAUGAAUGAAAAAAUUUAUAAAGAGAUAGAUAUUUUACAGAAAAACCAAUCAAGCUUCUGGAAAUGAAAGAUACAUUUAGGGAGUUACAAAAUGUAGUGGAAUGUUUUGACAACAGACUAGACCAAGUAGAAGAAAGAAUUUCAGGGCUUGAAACAAGUCUUUCAAGUCAACUCAAUCAGAAAAAUAAUAAAGAAAAAAGAAUCAAAAGAAAUGAGCAAUGUCUCCAAGAAAUAUGAAAUUAUUUAAAAUGGCCAGACCUAAAAAUAACUGGUGUUCCAAAUAAUUGGUGAGGGAGAAGAGAAAGCAAAAACAUUGGAAAACUUAUUUGAUGGAAUAAUUGAGGAAAACUUCCCUGGCUUUGUUAGGCAAAUUUAGAUGUCCAAAUACAAGAAGCUCAAACAACUCCUAGGAGAGUCAUUGCAAAAAGGACAUCACCGAAGCAUAUACUCAUUGGGAUUUCUAAAGUUAACAUGAAGGAAAGAAUUCUAAGAGCAGUGAAACAAAAGCAUCAGGUAACCUCUGAAGGAAAAUCUAUUAGACUAACAGCAGACUUCUCAGCAGAAACCUUACAAAUCAGAAGUAUUAAGGUCUUAUCUUUAGCUUCCUUAAAUAGAAUAACUGUCAGUUAAGAAUUCUGUAUUCAGCAAAACUAAAUUUCAAAAAUGAAAGAGAAACAGUUAUUUUCAGACAAACAAAUGCUGAGGAAAUUUAUCACUACUAGACCAGCCCUACAAGAAAUGCUAAAAGUAGUUCUAAAUGUUGAAACAAAAGUCCUAUAUGAAACAUAAUAGAACCUCUUAAAAGCAUAAAACUCACAGGGCCCAUAAAACAAUAACACAAUGAAGAAAACAAAGUAUCUAGAUAACAUUUUGCCUGAAAUAAUACCUCACAUCUCACAUUAAUGUUGAAUGUAAAUGCCCUAAUACUCCACUUAAAAGAUACAGAUUGGCAGAAUAGAUUAAAACCAUCACAAACCAAAUAUGUGCUGUCUUCAAGAGAUUCAUCUAACAUAUAAAGAUUCAUAUAAACUCAAGAUAAACAGCUGGAAAAAGAUAUUUGAUGCAAAUGGAAACCAAAUGUAAGCAGGAGUAGCUGUUCUUAUAUCUGAUCAAAAAGACAUGGAAGAAACAACAGUUUAAAAAAAAGACAAGGUCAUUAUAUAAUGAUAAAAUGAUCAAUUCAACAAGGAGAUAUUAUAAUCCUAAAUUUACAUGCACCUAACUCUGGAGCUGCCAGAUUUACAAAACAAAUACUACUAGACCUAAAAAAUGAGAUGAAUAGUAAUGCAAUAAUAAUGGGGAACUUCAACAUUCCACUGACACUAGACAGAUCUUCAAGACAGAAAGUCAACAAAGAAACAAUAACUUACACUACACUCUAGAACAACUGGACCUAAGAGAUGUUUACAGAAAAUUCUACCCAACAACUGCAGAAUAUACAUUCUUUCACCAGUACAUGGAGCAGUCUCCAAGAUAGACCAUAUGAUAGGCCACAAAACAAGUCUUAAUGAAGUUUAAAAAAAAAUGAAAUCAUAUCAAGUACCUUCUCAGACCACAGUGGAAUAAAACUAGAAAUCAACUCCAAAAGGAACCCUCAAACUAGACAAAUACAUGAAAAUGAAACAAUCUGCUCCUAAAUUAUUUUUGGGUUAACAAUGAAAUCAAGAUGGAAUUUAAAAAGUUAUUUGAAAUGAAUGAUAAUAGUGAUGUAAUUUAUCAAAACCUCUGGGAUACAGCAAAAAUAGUGCUAAGAGAAAAGUCUGUAGUGCUAAAUGCCUCCAUCAAAAAGUAUAAAAGAUCACAAAUUGACAAUCUAAUAUCAUACCUCAGGCAACCAGAGAAACAAGAACAAACCAAACCCAAAGCUAGCACAAGUAAAUACACAACAAAGAUCAAAGCAGAACAAAAUAAAAUUGAUACAGAAAAACAAUACAAAACAUCAAUGAAACAUAAAGUUGCUUCUUUGAAAACAAAAACAAAUUGAUAGACCAUUAGCUAGAUUAAUCAAGAAGAGAGAGGUUUCAAAUAAGAUUAAAAAUGAAAAUGAAGACAUUACAACUGACACUACAAAAAUACAAAAGAUCAUUUGAGACUACCAUAAACACUUUUAUGCACACAAACUAAAAAAUCUAGAGGAAAUGAAUAAGCUCUUGGAAACGUACAAUCCUCCUAAAUUAAAUCAAGAAGAAAUACAAACCCUGAACACACCAAUAACAACCAGCAAGACUGAAUCAGUAAUUUUAAAAAAUGCCAACAAAAAUAAGACCAGGGCCAGAUGGAUCCACAGCUAAAUUCCACCAGACAGUCAAAGAAAAAUUGGGACCAACCCUGCUGGAACUAGUCCAAAAGAUUCAGAAGGAUAGAAUCCUCCCUAACUAUCUAUGAAGCCAUUAUCACCCUGAUACCAACACUAGGAAAGUAUAUAACAACAACAACAAAAAAGAAAACCACAGACCAAUAUCCCUGAUAAAUACAGAUGCAAAAAUCCUCAAUAGAAUACUAGCUAACUGAAUCCAACAACACAUCAAAAAGAUAAUAAAUCAUGAUCAAGUGGGUUUCAUUACAGGGAUGCAGGGAUGGUUUAACACAUGCAAGUCAAAAAAUGUGAUAAAUCACAUAAACAGAAUUAAAAAUAAAAACCAUAUGAUCAUCUCAACAGAUGCAGAUAAGGCAUUUGAUAAAAUCUAGCAUCACUGUAUGAUAAAAAUCCUCAACAAACUAGCCAUAGUAGGGGCAUACCUCAAAAUAAUAAAAGCCAUAUAUGAUGGAUCCACAGUCAAUGUCAUACUGAAUGGUGAAAAGUUGAAAGCAUUCCCCCGAGAACUAAAACAAGGCAAAGAUGUCCACUUUCACUACUUCUAUUCAACAUAACACCUGAAGUCCUAGCUAGAACAAUCAGACAGGAGAAAGAAAUAAAGUGCAUCAAAAUUGAAAAAGAGGAAGUUAAACUAUCAUUGUUCACUGAUAAUAUGAUUGUAUAACUAGAAAGCUGUAAAGAUUACUCCAUAAGACUACUAGAUUUGAUAAAUUCAGUAAACUCUCAGGUUACAAAAUCAAUGUACACAAAUCAGUAGCACUUCUAUAUACCAACAAUGAUCAAUCUGAGAAUCAAAUCAAGAACCCAAUUCCUUUUACAAUAGCUGAAAAAACUAAAAUACUUUAGGAUAUACUUAAACAAGGAGGUGAAAGAUCUCUACAAGGAGAGCUAAAAGAAACUGCUGAAAGAAAUCACAGAUGACACAAACAAAUGGAAACAUAUCCCAGGCCCUUGGAUUGGCAGAAUCAAUAUCAUGAAAAUGACCGUACUGCCCAAAGCAAUCUACAGAUUCAAUGCAAUUCCUAUCAAAAUACCAACAUCAUUUUUAACAGAACUCGAAAAAAUAUCCUAAAAUUCUGUGGAUUACAAAAAUAACCUUAAUAGCUAAAGCAAUCCUAAGCAAAAAGAACAAACCUGGAGGUAUCACAUUACCCGACUUCAAAUGAUACUACAAAGUCAUAACUACCAAAACAGCAUGACACUGGUAUACAAGUAGGUGCAUCAUAAACCAAUGGAACUAAACAGAGGGCCCCAAGUAAAGCCAAAUACUUACAACCAAAACUGAGGCUUGAGAAAGCAUUCAAAAAUAUAAAUUGGGGAAAGGACACCUUAUUUAAUAAAUGUUGCUGUGAAAACUGGAUAGCCAUAUGUAGAAGAAUAAAACUGGAUCCCUAUCUCUCACCUUAUAUAAAAAUCAACUCAAGAUGGACCAAAGACUUAAAGCUAAGACCUGAAACUAUAAACAUUGUAUAAAAUAGCCUAGAAAAAAGCUCUUUUGGACAUUGGUCUAGGAAAAUAAUUUAUGACUAAGACCCCAAGAGCAAAUGCAACAAAAACAAAAAUAAAUAGGACCUAAUUAAACGAAAAAGCUUCUGCACAGCAAAAGAAUUAAUCAUCAGAGUAAACAGACAACCACAGAAUGGCAGAAAGUAUUUGCAAACUAUGCAUCUGACAAAGAACUAAUAUUCAGAAUCCACAAAGAGCUCAAAUAAAUCAGCAGGAAAAAAAACAAAUAAUCCCAUCAAAAAGUGGCCAAAUGACAUAAAUAGACAUUUCUCAAAAGAAGAUAUACAAAUGGCCAACAAAUAUAUCAAAAAAUGCUGAACAUCACUAAUCAUCAAGAAAAUUCAAAUUAAAACCACAAUGAGAUACCAUCUCACCCAUGCAAGUGUGGUCAUUAUUAUAAAGUCAAAAAAAGAAUAGAUGUUUGUGCAGGUAUGGUGAAAGGGAAUGCUCAUACACUGCUGGUGGGAAUGUAAAUUAGUAAAACAUCUAAGGAAAACAGUAUGGAGAUUUCUCAAAAAACUAAAAGAAGAUCUAGCAUUGUAUCCAGCAAUCCCACUACUGGGUAUCUCUCCAAAGGAAAAUAAGAUAUUAUAUCAAAAAGACAUCUGCAUAUACAUGUUUGUUAGAGCACAAUUCACAAUUGCAAAGAUAUGGAACCAAUCUAAGUACCCAUCAACCAAUGAGUGGAUAAAGAAAAUAUGGUAUAUAUACACCAUGGAAUAUUACUCAGCCAUAAAAACAGAAUGAAAUAACAUCUCAGGCAGCAACUUGGAUGGAGCUGGAGGCCAUUAUUCUAAGAAGUAACUCAGAAAUGGAAAACCAAAUACCAUAUGCUUUCACUUAUAUGUGGGAGUUAAGCUGUGGGUAUGCAAAGGCAUACAGAGUGGUAUAAUGGACUUUGGAGACAUAGAAGCGGGAAGAUGAGAGGGAGGUAAGGGAUAGAAAACUACAUACUGGGUACGAUACACACUACUCAGGUGAUGAAUGCAAUAAAAUCUUAGGUUUUACCACUAUACAAUUCAUCCAUGUAAUCAAAAACCAUGUACAUCCCCAAAGCUAUUGAAAUAAAAUAUAUUUUUUAAAAAACAUGAAACCAUGGGCAAAAAUUAAUAGAAAUUAUCAAAAAAUUUGGGACAAGAUUAGCAAUGUUAUUUCAUGACUUCUGUAACUAGAAAUGUCUCAUAUCUGAUAUUUCCACUCCUAUUUUCUUUGCCACCGAUAUGUCCUCCUCACCACGCAGAGAAACAUUUUCAUUAAAUAAUUUACCCUGUUCAAGAAUAUAAAAUAUUUACUCUGAACUUCUCUAUUUGGAUCUUGUGAAAAUCAAUAGUUUUGUUCUAUUCUGAACAAAAGGUAGAUUAUUUAACCUAUCUUGCUAAGAAAGUCAUGAUAGAUUUCAGUCAAUUUAUGAAAAUUUACAAACAAAAUAUUUGUAGUAUGUGUACUAUAUUUUAAAAGUGAGUUGUAUCAAUUUAAUCCAAAACACACUGAGAAUUUGUCAAUAUGUACAUAUUUAAAACUACUUACAUGUAGGCACCAGAACUUUUCGAAAUAAUUUCACUGAUUUAUCAAAUGUCUUCAUUAGCAUCAAUGAAUACUUUAAAUGCAUUUUAACGUAGCUAAAUUUUUUUUUGUAUGAUAAAUCUGGUCCUUUUGAAUACAUUACCAAAUGUUUUUCAAUGUAAAAAGAAUUUUCUCCAGAAUUCUAACCUUUUCAAUUACUGGCAUUUUGAGUCAAUCAACAGUUAUGUAGCCAUAAUUUUUAUUUUUCAGGUGCUAUGGAAAUCUUGACUCUCAGAUUAAUUUGACUAGAAUAGCUGUCACUUUCUAAAAAUGAUAAUGAUUUUGAAAAAUAACAAUAAUUUUAUUGAAUUU